CCACCCCCGCCACCCCUGUCCCUACACUCCACUGUCAAGGAGGUCAUAUCUGGGCCUGAAGAUGCCAUCGUAGCACAUUACGAAGCAGGCCACUAUCGCCUUCUGUGGAGUCAGUGGUAAAACACCUCCUACCACAUACACCAGUGGCUGAAACCUCUUCCUCCCUGAUGCAAAUGCAUCAUGUGAUCGCCUCGCUGGAAAAUUCCAGGAUCCAAACCAUCCCACAGUUCCCCUCAGCAUCCCACGUACACCCUGGUGCCUCGGCAGGCUGCUGUGGUUUCUAAGAUGGCAGAACAAGGUGGCCCAUCCCUUACUGGCUCUGUGAACUCCCGUGGCAUGCAGACUUCUGCACUUCAUCAGAAUCAGCAUUUUACCAAACACAGAAAAUAACACUGACUUCAAAGCACCACUGGAGAUGAAUUAACACAAGGAAGAAACUGAGAGUCGGAAAGUUCCCGAGGGGAGCUAAUCCGCCCGGGUCUGUCUCACGGGAAAGGCCCUGGCCCCAUGGUGCUUGGUCAGAGGACACCCGAAGUCACCAUGGUAUACUAGGCUUGGUCCUCUUUCUUCCCUCCCCGGCGCGUAGACGAAACCGCUUCAGUCUGCCUCUCUCAAGCACGGCUCGAUUCCUUCUGAGGAGUCCAGGCCUGGGAGGAGGAAGCUGCUAUGUGGGCCCCUCCUACCCCUAAUACCAUCUUCUCUGCUCUCCCAGAAGUAAAUUCUUCCUGCUUCUGGGCUCA
Mesocricetus auratus (golden hamster) is the source of this 740-nucleotide long non-coding RNA. RefSeq lists it as uncharacterized. The transcript is spliced from 3 exons. Lineage: Eukaryota; Metazoa; Chordata; Mammalia; Rodentia; Cricetidae. The record is from RefSeq and is a predicted model, not a curated record.